GUGAGGGAUAUUGGUCAAUGGUCGGAAGACUGAACCAGCCAUGCCGCGUGAGGUAGGAAGGCCCUACGGGUCGUAAGCCUCUUUUACCCGGGGACAAGGGCGCCCACGCGAUGGGUGCUUGAGGGUACCGGGGGAAUAAGCGUCGGCUAACUCCGUGCCAGCAGCCGCGGUAAUACGGAGGACGCGAGCGUUAUCCGGAUUCAUUGGGUUUAAAGGGUGCGCAGGCGGCCUGUCAAGUCAGCGGUGAAAGCCCGGGGCCCAACCCCGGAAGUGCCGUUGAUACUGUCGGGCUGGAAUGCGGUCGAGGCGGGCGGAACGUGGCGUGUAGCGGUGAAAUGCGUAGAUAUGCCACAGAACGCCGAUAGCGGAGGCAGCUCGCCAGGCCUGCAUUGACGCUCGGGCACGAAAGCGUGGGGAUCGAACAGG
Molecule: ribosomal RNA, 426 nt
Filed under: uncultured rumen bacterium
Lineage: Bacteria
Description: bacterial SSU rRNA
Rfam family: Bacterial small subunit ribosomal RNA
Source: RNAcentral